The submitters of this non-coding RNA (49 nucleotides) gave its source as unclassified sequences. The record is from Rfam.
GUCGAUCAAACGUCUGACGAACCUCCAGUACCUGAUACGGCUGGAGGCA